GUUUGAUCCUGGCUCAGGAUGAACGCUGGCGGCGUGCUUAACACAUGCAAGUCGAACGAACCUUCGGGUUAGUGGCGGACGGGUGAGUAACGCGUGGGAAUCUGCCCUCAGGAGGGGGAUAACGGCUGGAAACGGCCGCUAAUACCCCAUAUGCCGAGAGGUGAAAUGAAUUUCGCCUGAGGAUGAGCCCGCGUCUGAUUAGCUAGUUGGUGUGGUAAUGGCUCACCAAGGCUUCGAUCAGUAGCUGGUCUGAGAGGAUGAUCGGCCACACUGGGACUGAGACACGGCCCAGACUCCUACGGGAGGCAGCAGUGGGGAAUUUUCCGCAAUGGGCGAAAGCCUGACGGAGCAACGCCGCGUGAGGGAUGAAGGCCUCUGGGCUGUAAACCUCUUCUUUCAAGGAAGAAGACCUGACGGUACUUGAAGAAUAAGCCACGGCUAAUUCCGUGCCAGCAGCCGCGGUAAUACGGGAGUGGCAAGCGUUAUCCGGAAUUAUUGGGCGUAAGGCGUCCGCAGGCGGCCCUGAAAGUCUGUCGUUAAAGCGUGGAGCUCAACUCCAUUUAAGCGAUGGAAACUACAGGGCUAGUGUGUGGUAGGGGCAGAGGGAAUUCCCGGUGUAGCGGUGAAAUGCGUAGAUAUCGGGAAGAACACCAGUGGCGAAGGCGCUCUGCUGGGCCAUAACUGACGCUCAUGGACGAAAGCCAGGGGAGCGAAAGGGAUUAGAUACCCCUGUAGCCCUGGCCGUAAACGAUGAACACUAGGUGUCGGGGGAAUCGACCCCCUCGGUGUCGAAGCCAACGCGUUAAGUGUUCCGCCUGGGGAGUACGCACGCAAGUGUGAAACUCAAAGGAAUUGACGGGGGCCCGCACAAGCGGUGGAGUAUGUGGUUUAAUUCGAUGCAACGCGAAGAACCUUACCAGGGUUUGACAUCCUGCGAAUCCCUUGGAAACGAGGGAGUGCCUUCGGGAGCGCAGAGACAGGUGGUGCAUGGCUGUCGUCAGCUCGUGUCGUGAGAUGUUGGGUUAAGUCCCGCAACGAGCGCAACCCACGUCGUUAGUUGCCAGCAUUCAGUUGGGCACUCUAGCGAGACCGCCGGUGAUAAACCGGAGGAAGGUGUGGAUCACGUCAAGUCAUCAUGCCCCUUACAUCCUGGGCUACACACGUACUACAAUGCUACGGACAAAGGGCAGCAAGCUCGCGAGAGUUAGCAAAUCCCAUAAACCGUGGCUCAGUUCAGAUCGUAGGCUGCAACUCGCCUACGUGAAGGAGGAAUCGCUAGUAAUCGCAGGUCAGCAUACUGCGGUGAAUACGUUCCCGGGCCUUGUACACACCGCCCGUCACACCAUGGAAGUUGGCCACGCCCGAAGUCGUUACUCCAACCCUUGU
RNAcentral lists this ribosomal RNA (1386 nucleotides) under metagenome. Its description in RNAcentral is "bacterial SSU rRNA". It matches the Rfam family "Bacterial small subunit ribosomal RNA". The record is from RNAcentral.